RNAcentral lists this ribosomal RNA (1022 nucleotides) under Escherichia coli. RNAcentral's name for it is "partial 23S ribosomal RNA". It matches the Rfam family "Bacterial large subunit ribosomal RNA", at positions 180 to 1241 of the family's 2925-position model. Lineage: Bacteria; Pseudomonadati; Pseudomonadota; Gammaproteobacteria; Enterobacterales; Enterobacteriaceae. The record is from RNAcentral.
CGAACCGGGGGAACUGAAACAUCUAAGUACCCCGAGGAAAAGAAAUCAACCGAGAUUCCCCCAGUAGCGGCGAGCGAACGGGGAGCAGCCCAGAGCCUGAAUCAGUAUGUGUGUUAGUGGAAGCGUCUGGAAAGGCGCGCGAUACAGGGUGACAGCCCCGUACACAAAAAUGCACAUGCUGUGAGCUCGAUGAGUAGGGCGGGACACGUGGUAUCCUGUCUGAAUAUGGGGGGACCAUCCUCCAAGGCUAAAUACUCCUGACUGACCGAUAGUGAACCAGUACCGUGAGGGAAAGGCGAAAAGAACCCCGGCGAGGGGAGUGAAAAAGAACCUGAAACCGUGUACGUACAAGCAGUGGGAGCACGCUUAGGCGUGUGACUGCGUACCUUUUGUAUAAUGGGUCAGCGACUUAUAUUCUGUAGCAAGGUUAACCGAAUAGGGGAGCCGAAGGGAAACCGAGUCUUAACUGGGCGUUAAGUUGCAGGGUAUAGACCCGAAACCCGGUGAUCUAGCCAUGGGCAGGUUGAAGGUUGGGUAACACUAACUGGAGGACCGAACCGACUAAUGUUGAAAAAUUAGCGGAUGACUUGUGGCUGGGGGUGAAAGGCCAAUCAAACCGGGAGAUAGCUGGUUCUCCCCGAAAGCUAUUUAGGUAGCGCCUCGUGAAUUCAUCUCCGGGGGUAGAGCACUGUUUCGGCAAGGGGGUCAUCCCGACUUACCAACCCGAUGCAAACUGCGAAUACCGGAGAAUGUUAUCACGGGAGACACACGGCGGGUGCUAACGUCCGUCGUGAAGAGGGAAACAACCCAGACCGCCAGCUAAGGUCCCAAAGUCAUGGUUAAGUGGGAAACGAUGUGGGAAGGCCCAGACAGCCAGGAUGUUGGCUUAGAAGCAGCCAUCAUUUAAAGAAAGCGUAAUAGCUCACUGGUCGAGUCGGCCUGCGCGGAAGAUGUAACGGGGCUAAACCAUGCACCGAAGCUGCGGCAGCGACGCUUAUGCGUUGUUGGGUAGGGGAGCGUUC